GUCCCUUAGCACAAUGGAUAGCGCGUUGGAGUUCUGAUUGAAAGUUCGUGGGUUCGAAUUCCAUGUGGGAUG
This is a non-coding RNA of Trichonephila clavata, 72 nucleotides long. The record is from the annotation of a GenBank genome assembly. Lineage: Eukaryota; Metazoa; Arthropoda; Arachnida; Araneae; Nephilidae.